GAUAAUACACGAAAAACCUUACCAAGAUUUGACAUCCCCCGCGAAGCUUUAGAAAUAAAGUAGAGGUUAUCGGGGUGACAGGUGGUGCAUGGUUGUCGUCAGCUCGUGUCAUGAGAUGUUUGGUUAAGUCCCGCAACGAGCGCAACCCUACUCUUUAGUUAAUCAAUUUAAAGAGACUGAACAGUAAUGUAUAGGAAGGUUGGGAUCACGUCAAAUCAUCAUGCCCCUUAUGUCUUGGGCCGCAAACGUGUUACAAUGGCGAGUACAGCGUGUCGCAAACCAGCGAUGGCAAGCUAAUCACUAAAAACUCGUCUCAGUCCGGAUAAAAGGCUGCAAUUCGCCUUUUUGAAGUUGGAAUCACU
Molecule: ribosomal RNA, 362 nt
Filed under: uncultured Mycoplasma sp.
Lineage: Bacteria; Bacillati; Mycoplasmatota; Mollicutes; Mycoplasmatales; Mycoplasmataceae
Description: bacterial SSU rRNA
Rfam family: Bacterial small subunit ribosomal RNA
Source: RNAcentral